Molecule: long non-coding RNA, 899 nt
Filed under: Phoenix dactylifera (date palm)
Lineage: Eukaryota; Viridiplantae; Streptophyta; Magnoliopsida; Arecales; Arecaceae
Description: long non-coding RNA (PDAC_LNC003915)
Source: RNAcentral
GACCCGAACCAGGUAUACCAAUAGGGCCAAUGGAGGUGCUGGAGGGUCUUUAACUCUCUAUUUCUUUAAUCUCUUCUCAUGUUUGAGGGCGAGAGGAAUAGAAGAGACUAUCUUUUGGGUACUAUCGAAUGGUAUAAAUUUUACAUUAGGGCUUAGGUUGGUUACAUUAAAUAUGACACUAUUUUCCUAAGAAGAAACUUCAGACUAAUGAAGACAAAAUAAAGUAUAAUUUUGCUAUACAGAAGAAGAUGGAUUCAUGACGAGUCCUUUGUAGCUAUUGAAUUUUGUCAUAUGCCAUUAUCAAAACUGUAUUCCUCAUUUUGGCCCAUGCAUGCUUUUCUAGUAGUAUGUUUAGAAAAAAUAGUAGUAAAUGCACUCUAGCAAAUUCAAGAGAUAUUACUGCUGAGUAAAAAGGAUUAGCAUAGAUGUCAUUUUGUUCUACACAAAAAAAAAGUCUUGCAUUCAUGAACAUCUUUUUUUUGUAGUUAACAAGGUUGAGACUAUCAUUAUUAUAUUAGUUUGUAAUAGCCUCAUUCUUUGAUGAUGAGGCACUUUCACUUGUACGCUCCUGUAUAACCUGCUUUUUGUAAUUUUCACUCAUUGCAAAAGAAACUAAUUACAGAGAAUGAUAAGCACAUGGAUCUGACCCAAUCAUGAUCAAGUUAUAAUAAAGUUGAGCUCAAGCCAACUUCUUUAAUUAAACCAUACUCAAGGUAUUAAUGAACAACUUGUUGAAAAUAUUUUGCAAAAAAUUUUAAGUCUUUCAAGACUCUAUACAUAGUUGAGACUGAUGACCUCAAUUAUUGCAACAACCCAGGACUUUAUUCAGAAAGGCUGGCCGAAAAGUAUUAUUUGGGUAUUUUGAUCUUGUAUAAGUACCCAGAUCUACCCAGCAAAUA